AUGCGACCCCAGGUCAGGC
RNAcentral lists this ribosomal RNA (19 nucleotides) under Leptadenia jasminiflora. RNAcentral's name for it is "Orthanthera jasminiflora partial 26S ribosomal RNA". The record is from RNAcentral. RNAcentral also lists the same sequence under 1 other name. Lineage: Eukaryota; Viridiplantae; Streptophyta; Magnoliopsida; Gentianales; Apocynaceae.